Molecule: ribosomal RNA, 468 nt
Filed under: uncultured bacterium
Lineage: Bacteria
Description: partial 16S ribosomal RNA
Rfam family: Bacterial small subunit ribosomal RNA
Source: RNAcentral
GACGAACGCUGGCGGCGUGCUUAACACAUGCAAGUCGAACGGAAAGGCCCUGCUUUUGUGGGGUGCUCGAGUGGCGAACGGGUGAGUAACACGGGAGUAACCUGCCCUUGACUUUGGGAUAACUUCAGGAAACUGGGGCUAAUACCGGAUAGGAGCUCCUGCUGCAUGGUGGGGGUUGGAAAGUUUCGGCGGUUGGGGAUGGACUCGCGGCUUAUCAGCUUGUUGGUGGGGUAGUGGCUUACCAAGGCUUUGACGGGUAGCCGGCCUGAGAGGGGGACCGGCCACAUUGGGACUGAGAUACGGCCCAGACUCCUACGGGAGGCAGCAGUGGGGAAUAUUGCACAAUGGGCGGAAGCCUGAUGCAGCAACGCCGCGUUCGGGAUGACGGCCUUCGGGUUGUAAACCGCUUUCGCCUGUGACGAAGCGUGAGUGACGGUAAUGGGUAAAGAAGCACCGGCUAACUACGUG